RNAcentral lists this ribosomal RNA (253 nucleotides) under uncultured bacterium. RNAcentral describes it as "partial 16S ribosomal RNA". It matches the Rfam family "Bacterial small subunit ribosomal RNA", at positions 524 to 776 of the family's 1533-position model. The record is from RNAcentral.
UACGUAGGGUGCAAGCGUUGUCCGGAAUUAUUGGGCGUAAAGGGUGCGUAGGCGGUUUGGUAAGUCUGAUGUGAAAUCUAUGGGCUCAACUCAUAGUCUGCAUCGGAAACUGCCGGGCUUGAGUAUGGGAGAGGUGAGUGGAAUUCCUGGUGUAGCGGUGAAAUGCGUAGAUAUCAGGAGGAACACCUGUGGCGAAGGCGGGUCUCUGGGCCGAUACUGACGCUGAGGAGCGAAAGCGUGGGGAGCGAACAGG